Molecule: ribosomal RNA, 113 nt
Filed under: Caerostris darwini
Lineage: Eukaryota; Metazoa; Arthropoda; Arachnida; Araneae; Araneidae
Source: RNAcentral
AACGGCCAUACCAUGCUGAAUAUACCGGUUCUCAUUAGAUCACCGAAGUCAAGCAUCAUUGGGCGCGGUCAGUACUUGGGUGGGUGACCACCUGGGAACACCGCGUGCCGUUU